CAGGAAGCCCGAAAAAGUGGAAGUAGGCAGUGGAGGGGAAUAAGUGCUUAGGAGUUCAGCGCGGGCAUCGGAAAGUCACAGAUCUUAAAGCAGCAAGGGGCGGUAGCCACACUUAGCAUGGCGACUAAAAGGCGGCAGAGCGAAGGGGGCGGAGCCACGUCUUGGUGGGGAAGGAGGCACGUUGCCGUCCCCGUCGUCUCACUCAUUGGUUUCUUUGAGGAGUCAGAACGGCAAUGGAUGUACGUGAUGUCAGUCAUUAGCAAGUCCCGCUUCCGGGCUCUCGUUGUUUCUCAGGGCCACAGGGCCCAGGUCUCUCAAGAUCGCUAGAACCCUGCCUCCGGCGUGACGUCAUGACGCGGGCGGCUCCCUGGUGUGGGAGGUGGCUGCGCGGGCGGGCGGCCUUGGGUCGCCGACCGCCGCCCUGAGAUGGAAAGCCUCGGGCUGAUGGACCGGUAGGAACCGGAAGCUUGCCCGCGACCAUGCUGUAUCUGGCUGAAGUCUUUCCGGCGGCCUCCUUUGGGUUCCUCCGCGCAACAGGAGUUCGGUUCCUUUUCUGCCUAGGGCCGAGAGGCCAAUGGAGCGCCUCGCGAGGUCGGGCCUUUAAGCGCGGGAGGUUGGCCCCUGCCCUUUGGGUCCUUUGGGCCCUUUUCGUGUGACUUCUCUCAACUUCAGUUUUCUCGGGAAAAGUAACGAGGCGAAAGCUGGCCGCUUGGUUAAACAGUGUCGGCGUGGACUGGCCAGGAAGAAGAGGGAUGGGAAUCAGAUAUCAGGAAGGAGCAAAAUCUGGUGGUAAAGAUUAGAGAUCUCAAGGUUUGUACCAGUAGAACAAUCCAUAAACCAGGUAUUCUUAAACCGG
This is a long non-coding RNA of Manis pentadactyla (Chinese pangolin), 856 nucleotides long. RefSeq lists it as uncharacterized. The record is from RefSeq and is a predicted model, not a curated record. Lineage: Eukaryota; Metazoa; Chordata; Mammalia; Pholidota; Manidae. The transcript has 2 exons.